Molecule: long non-coding RNA, 2129 nt
Organism: Macrobrachium nipponense
Lineage: Eukaryota; Metazoa; Arthropoda; Malacostraca; Decapoda; Palaemonidae
Exons: 3
Source: RefSeq, a predicted model, not a curated record
UGUGUGUGUGUUUUGGGGGGGGAGGGGGUGGAGGUCGAGAGUGCAUGGAAAUUUGCAACUGCCUAUAGUAUUACUUGGAUUGACGAUGAUUCACGAUGAGGCCUAUAGAUACAAAUUCGCUUAUAAGUCAUUUGAUAUGACGCGUGUCAAAACGAAUGUUGUUUGAAGUAAAGAGAAUAAUAUUAGCAAGACUUGUCUCUAUUAAUCACUUUGGCUCGUUAUGUUGGGGCGGGGGGGGGGGGGGGAAUUCUAUGGUCAGUUGUCAAGAUUUUACGAUCGGGGAGUUAGGCACUUGUUUUGAUCAUGGAUGCGGUCUUACCAGGAAUUGCUAGUGAUACCAGAUAUUGUCUACGAUAUCCAUCCAUAUGAAUCUUUUAUAGGUUUUCUAUGUAAGGAUAUUAGGCUUUCUACACCAUUUUUUUUUUUUUACUCUAGCUUUUGAUAUUGUUCGCGAAUAUAGGUCUUUACAUACAGCGUCAGUCACCAGGGACCGUAACUUCUCGUUUAACUCUUGACUUGUCACAAAAAUCUACUAAUUGACUCUUUCUAACUAUGUUUCUACCAAGUAUCGACUGAUAGCACUUUGACUUCCGACUACAACAGACAAAAUUGCCAUCACUUGGAUCUACGAUCUCUAAGUAGUAUCACCUUUGAUGUCGUUCAAAAACGUAUACCUUGGUCUGACAAUGAAAAGUAAAUUGAGUAAUAUUUCAAAAGAUGACGACACCUUAUCUCUCACGGCCUCACGAAAGGAGAUAAACCUCAAGGACGUUCCCCAAGUUUACAAGGAAAGGAAAAAUGAUGUAUUUGGAUGAAUCAAAUGGCGAAAUGAAGAAAAGAUACUGCGUUAAUUCCCGACGAUGUCCUCCAUGAGCGUGACGGAUGCAGCGCGUGCUGUUCUUGAUAGAUUUUUGAACCACUGAGUAACGACAAGAUAUUGUAGGAGUUACUGGGUUUUCGUGACUUCUGGAGGUCGCAGGAAGGAAAGCACGAGCUGUUAUUUAAAUCCACGAGACUGAUUUGGAACUCUCCGUGGGUAACUACAUAAUAAGACCUCGUUAGACUUCAAGUCAGUGAUGUGUAUUUCUGUGAUUAGAAGUUCACUAGUCUCGACGUGGUUCGGAAGUCACGUAAAGCCUUUGGUCCCGUUGCUGAAUAACCACUGGUUCCAUGCAACGUAAAAACACCAUACAAACACACAAACUAACCACAGGUGGCCAUGCUUUUACAACCUUUACAACGGAAAUUCAAGAGUGGCUUCAGUUCUGAGAGCGCCUUUGCUAUUCUGUAGCCGAAUCUUGUAACCAGGAAAGUGGUCCUGUGGAUGUCAUACAUCAGAACACAAUGUGUUUCCUCUACGACGGAAGUGACUGAAUUUUGUGUAAAAGAAAACUCGUGCGAUCAAGCAAUCCAAGAAUUUUGUUCCAUGUUGGUGGUAUUUCAGCAACCGGUAUGACCACCUCGGGAUCCCAGAGGCCACUUGAAAUUUCAAUUCGAGAAAUAAUUUCAGUUGGCGCCGAUAACUGCACAGCCGUUGAAAAUACUAUACAAAAUGGCGCGUGAUAUGUGUAUAAAGAUGAAGGCCUUUCGACAAUCUGACUAAAUGGUGCCCAGAAGGAUUCCUAUUUCUGAUACCAUCGCGUCUUACAUCAAAAAUCCUCAAGAUCAGAGUGUAAUGGCGUGGCCACCGUGGUACUGGGCUGCAAGACGGACCCGUUGCAAAGGCACAUCCCACUACAUUCAUGUCCAGCGUGAUAUUUGGCGUGCAAUGAUAGGCCUAAUGUUAUUUUUUUUAUCUGUAUUCAAGAUUUUUCUUAAUGUUAUUUCCAAGGAACAUCAUUCAGCAGUUAUCUAUGGGAAAGAUUUCCAUAAGAUUCUUUGGUUUAAAAAUGAUUUAGAUGUGCUCUUUUUAUUCUCAUAUUUCGAGGAUACAAUUUUGCAAUGGAAUUUUUUUUAUCUACUUAAAUAUUCAAUAUAGAAUCCAGUCAGUUGAAAUUAAAUCUUUUAGCAAAUUUAUUUUCACUUGAAGCUCAUAAGGACUUUGAAUUUCAAUAAAAACUAUUUUUUUAAGUACUCUCCUCAAAUGAACCUGUGUGUCAGAGUCAAACAAAAUAAACGAAGCUAUUUUU